RNAcentral lists this transfer RNA (58 nucleotides) under Asotana magnifica. RNAcentral's name for it is "tRNA-Phe". Lineage: Eukaryota; Metazoa; Arthropoda; Malacostraca; Isopoda; Cymothoidae. The record is from RNAcentral.
AUCCAUAAAGUUCCUAGAACAUAAUAUUGAAGAUAUUAAAGAGCUACUUCUAUGUAAA